Molecule: long non-coding RNA, 776 nt
Filed under: Scleropages formosus (Asian bonytongue)
Lineage: Eukaryota; Metazoa; Chordata; Actinopteri; Osteoglossiformes; Osteoglossidae
Description: lncRNA (ENSSFOG00015032204.1)
Source: RNAcentral
CAGAAGUGUUCGCGCCGGAUAACCAAAGGAGACGAAAAUAGAGACUGGGGUUCCAAAUAGAUGAAUAUGAAGAAAGUCAUUUAGAAAGUAUCCAGCUGAGCUUAAAAUAUAGUAAAGUGCCUUAUAUUUUCAACUGCUGAAAAAUAAGUGACUGCUACAUAAAAAACAAUCAUAAAGAUAUUCUCUGAGAACUUUUAUGAAUCUAACAGAACCGUUAAGACGGGUUUUAAAAAUGUCUAGACAUUUUAAGUGAAGUAAACAGUGACGGUGGUAAAACUUAAGAAUAAAAUAAAGCCAAACAAUCCGGCAUCCACCAACUUAGUGAAACAGAAACCAAAUUUCUCAACUGUGGUGAGCUGUAGUGAAGCGCAGCCAAUGAGGUUCUGUUGCACAGGUCUGUCUGUCUGCCUGCAGCCCUUAAGUGCGCGUUCACAGAGGCGGGAAGCUGUGACACACUUUCACAAAUUGGAACAGCGAGAAUAUUUUUUUCACAUAGGAACUGAUGCUUUCACAUCAUUACAGACAAAAUGACUAGUGGAUAUAUAUUUUUAACGGUCCUUUGUCCAGCUUUGGCCUUCAACAUUUUUACCAAACCAGAGGAUCACUUCGAGAACAAAGAUGAGAAGCAUUUUGGACAAACACUUAUACCUUACGAAAAUGGAAUUUUGGUUCCCUCUUCAAAUACAUCAGCCCGAAAACUGCACCACUGUAAAUUGAAGGAGGGCUGUGCUGAAGUGAAUAUCAAAGGUAGAGUCUCUCUGCCAGGCUGUUCAUAG